RNAcentral lists this ribosomal RNA (523 nucleotides) under Nocardia sp. 126561/06. RNAcentral describes it as "bacterial SSU rRNA". It matches the Rfam family "Bacterial small subunit ribosomal RNA", at positions 36 to 576 of the family's 1533-position model. Lineage: Bacteria; Bacillati; Actinomycetota; Actinomycetes; Mycobacteriales; Nocardiaceae. The record is from RNAcentral.
CUGGCGGCGUGCUUAACACAUGCAAGUCGAGCGGUAAGGCCCUUCGGGGUACACGAGCGGCGAACGGGUGAGUAACACGUGGGUGAUCUGCCUCGUACUUCGGGAUAAGCCUGGGAAACUGGGUCUAAUACCGGAUAUGACCACAGGAUGCAUGUCUUGUGGUGGAAAGAUUUAUCGGUACGAGAUGGGCCCGCGGCCUAUCAGCUUGUUGGUGGGGUAAUGGCCUACCAAGGCGACGACGGGUAGCCGGCCUGAGAGGGCGACCGGCCACACUGGGACUGAGACACGGCCCAGACUCCUACGGGAGGCAGCAGUGGGGAAUAUUGCACAAUGGGCGAAAGCCUGAUGCAGCGACGCCGCGUGAGGGAUGACGGCCUUCGGGUUGUAAACCUCUUUCGACAGGGACGAAGCGCAAGUGACGGUACCUGUAGAAGAAGCACCGGCCAACUACGUGCCAGCAGCCGCGGUAAUACGUAGGGUGCGAGCGUUGUCCGGAAUUACUGGGCGUAAAGAGCUUGUAGGC